Molecule: long non-coding RNA, 5350 nt
Organism: Taeniopygia guttata (zebra finch)
Lineage: Eukaryota; Metazoa; Chordata; Aves; Passeriformes; Estrildidae
Source: Ensembl
GAAUUAUCAUUUAAAAGUCACAAACAGAAAGAAAAUCUUCACCAAAUAUUUGAGAAAAUCAACACAGAGACUGCUCCCAGCCCUUGUCAGGAACUGUUCAACACAGAACACUCAAAUAAUAGGUCAAAGCUCUGAAAAGAAAAUGUCUUUGUCUCCAGGAAUGUGCACAGCUAUGCCUGAAGAGUGCAGUGUUCAACUUACACCUGGGUUUUUCUUUGGAAAACAGGAAAUAGGUGUUUUCUUACUUGUCUCUUGAAAGAAGGAAGAAUUUUCUUGUCACAGGGCACAAUUGAGCACAGGAACACAGAAAGGGACUGCAGCAUUCCUGCUCCCAGAGAGAUGCACAGCUUCACCAAACUAGGCUGUGGAAUACAUAAUCUAAUUGCAAAGUCAGGUCUGCUUUCAGCAUGGGGUUGGACCAGAUGACCUCCAAGCAUCCUUGCAAUCUAUAAUUUAAUUAUUCUAAUCAGUAAAUAACAAAAAAAAACCCUAAUAUUCUUUCAGUGAGAGGGUUUUGAUAUGUUCUUGCCAUAGCUAUAACAGCUGAUCUAAAGCAUUCAAUGUGAAAAAUAUAUUGUCAUACAAAUUCCUCCUUAUGCACUGCACUGUUCAUGUGUUUUACAGCACACUUUAAAGUAGGACACAACCAUAUUCAAUUACUUUGGUUGACUCUUUACAAAGACACCUCUGUGAAGGGAUAAUCUUGUGCUAAGUGUCUUAGGGCUAGUACAUCUGCAGGGAAGUCAUGAGUUGCUGGGACAGUCAUCUUUCCUGCCUCUCUCUGAAUGUCUCUGGCCCUCAUGGCACACAUCCUGCAGUGCCCAAUGAAUUCCACUUAUCUACAGUAUUCACCAGAACUUUCUGUGUUUUGUGGCCGUCUGUUAUAUUUGUACCAACCUUGCAGCAAUUGCUAGUGACCACAGCAUUUCCACCUUUCCAGGCUUUGUGCUCAAAAAUGUUAUCCAUUUCAAUAGGAAAGAAAGCCCAAGGACACACAUGUUGAGCAAGAAUCUAACUGCUUAGUUUUCUACCAGACAACCAAGGUUUUUUUGCUUAACUGCCAAAAGCAGAACAACAAAACUGUUUGCCAGAUCCUACUCAAUGUCCGCGCAAGUUCCUUCUCAUCCAUCAAAGAUUGUUCAGCUCCAGACAGGACAGGGCAGAAGAAACUGGCCCUUCCCUUCGACUUUAUUGCCCACUGCAGGCACAUAAAUGUGUCCCACCCCAGAGUAUGUCAGGCCACUGGCCAUUGACAUAAUAAUUCCUUUGAAAUGCCAGUGCUCAAAACCAGUAGAGUCCCCAGCUACCCUCGCUGUAGUGAAAGCCAAGUUUCCAAAGACUGCAAGGAAAAGAGGGGUGUUUCCAAGGGCAAGAACAGCAGUCAUGUUCCUGACUAGUUGCUGUCCUUGAAAAAAAAAUCUGUCCUGCAUGUGUGAGCAGCUGGGGCAGGGCAUGAUCUUCCUCCAGGGACAUCCUCUCUUUGCAUUGUUUUCCCUUUUUAAGAGUACAAGUGUUGGGCAGCCGCCUGCAACUGUUUCACUGUAGGAUGAAAUGAAAUAUAGUGUUCUUAAUAAAAGAAAGAAGUAACUCACACAAUAGGAAGAUUUGGUUAGGUUUCUGAAAAAUUAAGAGCAAAGAAGCAGUUCUCCCCAUAUGUCUAAGGCAUUUGAGAGUGAAUAUUUGACUCAUAUAGCUGCAAGGAGUUUGGCAACAUAUGCCAAAUUUCCAGCGGGACAGGCAGAAGGGCCAAUGAGAAAGGAUGCUGACAGGCUAGGAAUGGAGUAGCAGUGUGGUAUUUUAACAAAGAUGAAGAGCGUAGCUCUACAUCUGAGAGCAGCUUUGUUAAUGCAGCUGAGUUUCUCAGGCCACAUAGCUGAACUGUCAGUGGGUUUGGCUGUGUCACCUCAGUAUAAGCAAAGCCCGAUGAAAUGUGAGUAAUUUCUAAAAGAAAACAUUUCUGUGGGUUUGAUUCUCUGUUUUGUGGUCAUUGCCUUGGAAGAAGUAUUAGUAAUUUUGGGCUUUUGCACUUGUAUUGGAAAAAAAAAAAAGUGAGAUAGAGAAAGUUUUAGCAAUGGUUAAAAGCUUGCUGAGGGCCAGAGCUGUGCUGGACCCACAGGGUCACCUGGACUGCUGGCAGCCAGCCCUGCAGGGGCAAGGAGACUGCCUGCUCUGGGGCUUGGCACUGCCUGCCCUCCCCUUCCACCUCCUCCACACUGGGAGCUGAGCUGAGGGUGAGGCAAGUAGAGUCUUGCUCCCUGCCAUGCCUGACGGAGCCGGGGACAGCACACAUGCUGCCCUGCUCUGCAUCCAGCACAGGCACACUCCCUCCCUACCUGCAAACAUGACGGUCAACAACUGGCAGGAUGAGCAGGAGACAGUGGAAAUCAGCCAGUGCAGAGCAGUGACAUGAGCACUCAGGGUAAUCAACAUCUCGAGUCACUUGAGGGAAGACACCUUCCUCCAUCUGGCUUCCAUGUUCCUACAUUGUCCCCUUAGAGCUGGUCCACAGACUGGCCCCCGACAACCCAUUUUGUUCAGAACAGUUAAGCACUGUGCAGAAUGGUAAGACUCAUGAUUCCUCAGCCCAAAUUAAAACAUCCCUCAGAUUGCCUCAGAUGCAUCUGACACUUUCCCCUCUGACCUUUCAGGAGCACUCUGGCAGUCACAGUCCCACCCUCAGAGACUUUAAAUGCUGGGACCAAAGCCCCUUCGCAGAGGGCGGCUCUAGUGACCUGACAGGUGCCCUGCCCAACUCCCUACACAUCUCACAUUCACACAGACAAGAUUUCCUUAGCAGCUCAAUCCCAGGUUUCCCAAGUCAGGGGCUCAGACCUCUGGUUCCUUUAAGUAAUUUUAUUUUGGUGCAGCAACAGAGAAACAGCUCAAGCUUGUGCCUUGGAGAAGGGACACUGAACAAAGGAAACAUUGGGCUUUUAUACCCUGCGGCUGGGGUCUUCCACUUGAGUCCUCAGCUGCUGCUGUGUCUCUGAGUGUCUGGAAACUUGUCUGAGCCAAAGUUCCUCCUGCCCUUUGUUGGACAAAGGGGCAGCACCAUGUCACAACCCCUUCCCUCGAGCUGUCCCCACACAGGGCUCAAUCCGAGCGGCACCUCAGCUACCUGCACUGCAUGGAUUCCUCGACAACUGCCGUGGGGUUAAGGGCCUGGCAGCUCCUACCUCUGGCCAAACCUGGCAGAAGCUCACCUUUGAGCUCACAGGAGUCUGUCAAAUCCAAGGCACUUCCAAAGCCCAAGUAACUUGCAUUAUGAAAGCUGUGUAAAUGUUUCCAACAAAAUUUUGACUUGCUGAAAAAUUUCCAAGGAAAUCUAAGAGUUGACUGUGUAGUUGUGAGUUGCGAAAAAUAAAAAAAAUUUCAUGGUCUUACUUGGGUUGCAAUUGUAGCUCAGUUACAGUUAUCUGCUCUAAAAAAUCUUUUCCUUUAUUAAAAUUCUUGAACAAUAAAAAGUUGCCUUUAUUCCCCCUAAAAGGCAGUGUAAGCUUUGUAGCUAGCUAGGAAAGAGAUCUGUAACAUGUAUUAUGCCAUUUGGCACUUUCCAGAAAUAAUUUUCCAACAGCAUAGAAACACAAUGAGUGCAGUGCAUAUAAACAAACAGAAGGUGCUUUGGGGCUUGAUCUUUAAGGGUUCACCUCACAAUUCUUCCUGCAAAAGUGGUGUCUCUGGCUCUGAUGCUCCUGCAAUGGUUGUACAAAAAUUCAUAUAUUUAGCUUUGUAAUUGCCCCAAAACACGGUUUUGAUUCCCACAGAAGACAUGGCCUGCUGAUUUCUUGGGUUUACAAAGCUUGCAGGGCUACAUUUUUCUGACCAAUUAAAAGCUUACUCCAGAAUUCUUUUAAAGAGCAUGAUGGCUGCAUGUACUUAGGCUUAUCUCAAGAUAAGACAACACUUUUCCACAAGCAGGGAAGGAGCAACAGCUUCUGUCCUGUGUACCCUGCAUGUCCUGAGCAUGGCAGGUCUGCAAAGAGAGAGAGUAAUACUUUAAAGCAAAGGCUGCACUCACCCAUAGCUCAGGUGAAGAUGUUGGCAUUGUUGAUAGCUCUUUUUCUGUACUAUUGCAUCAAACUUAGCUGCCAACAUUGGAUGCUGUAGGCAAAGCCAGCUCCAUGCUAAGGGAGGAACAAUUACACUCUCUGUCCAGAGCCAGAGAAAGGGCCAGCCCAGACCAAAGAUCUCAGUCCAAGAAUCGGCUCUCCCUAUAUGCGAAAAGACAGGUUUCCAUCCUGCCACACUCAUUGUUUACAUCUUCCAUCCAUAGGGCUUAGGAAGCUGCCCCAACCAAGCACCUUCACUUAGAGCAGCAAGAGAGACUGUCACAAGUCACUCACAAUUAUUUACAGUUUCUUUCCAUCCUUAAGAUGGAAAGAGAUCAAGGAAAUCAGUGAAAUGCAUUAAUAAGACUAUUUCAAUUACUUUUCUCCCCUUACUUACCAGUUACUUUUAUACUCUUUAUCUGUCUCUCACUUGGUGGCUUGCAGACACUUUGAUAGAAAGCCACAGAAACCACUGCAGCAAGUACUUCACCAGUACUGGGGAAACUCUCAGGGGAGAGGAGAAGAAAUAAGUACAAAAUUGUUACUCUUUUUGCUCUCUGCGUUUAUUUAUUUUGGACCCAUUGGGCUAGACCGCAACUAAAACUUUAUGAACCUAAUAAAAUUCCCAACAUUCUCAGACAUGGGUCGUGAUGUUUAUAUAUUAGGCAGAAUACAAAGGUGUAUUUAUGAGGAGAUUGGAAGUACUUAGAGAUGCUUGAGCUCAGGCAAAGCAUAAAACACACAUAAGAAAUAUUUUCAAACUUAACACAGGUAAAAUCAAGCUAACCAGAUGACACAUCACAACCAGAAGUGUUUCAGAAAUGUUGUGCUCCUUAUCACAGAACCAUCCCACAUAGUCACAACCAUGGAGUUUGGGACAAAUUAUUUUUUUUCAAUAGAUGUUAUUUAUUUAUUUAUUUGCAUUGCUCUGCUGUGUCUAAAAUGCAGCUCUAUCAUUAUGGUAGUGGUAGUAACCAUAAACACUAAUAAACAGGAGAAGGUUGCAAGAGUAAACUUACCUUUUCCUUUCUGUCUUCAUAAAACACACACUGUUCCCUGAUUCAAUAAGCAAGAUGCACUGUUUGACUCAAGUCGAAGGAUAAUGGGUCUUGGCAACUGAUUAGGCUUUCCAUCUCUGUAAAUAAGAAAAGGCUAGAGGGAAUAUAUGCUGGGAUUUAUUUCUGCCAGGAGCAAAUAAACAGUUCUGUCAAUACACAGAUAAACCCACUUCCCUACUUCCCCCAUCUCUGUCUUGUCUUUGUCCAUCUCCAUUCCACCUCAUUAAAAAAAAAAAAAAAAAA